GCGGGCGAAGUGUUGUGGUGGCACCUUUGCUUCCCAAGCAAAGAGGGCGGGUUCGAUUCCCGUCGCCCGCUCCA
RNAcentral lists this transfer RNA (74 nucleotides) under Acidimicrobiia bacterium. Its description in RNAcentral is "tRNA-Gly". It matches the Rfam family "tRNA". From Rfam's summary of the family: Transfer RNA (tRNA) molecules are approximately 80 nucleotides in length. Their secondary structure includes four short double-helical elements and three loops (D, anti-codon, and T loops). The record is from RNAcentral. RNAcentral also lists the same sequence under 1 other name. Lineage: Bacteria; Bacillati; Actinomycetota; Acidimicrobiia.